Melozone crissalis (California towhee) is the source of this 1379-nucleotide long non-coding RNA. RefSeq lists it as uncharacterized. The transcript is spliced from 4 exons. The record is from RefSeq and is a predicted model, not a curated record. NCBI's taxonomy places the organism in Eukaryota, Metazoa, Chordata, Aves, Passeriformes, Passerellidae.
UCCUGGGUGAGGCUGUGUGGGGAAUGUGUGCAGCCUCUUGUUCUGGCAUUCCUGGUCUCCCAGAUCAUCCAUCUGAUCUGCUCCUGGAGCAAGGUGCCUCUGGACAGUGAUGGUUUAACUGGAGAGGGUCCAGGUUUCUGGAAUGAGCCCGGCUAAGAAUUUGCCAAGGGCAUCAACAGCAGUUUUCCCAGGCUCCAGCACAAGGAUUAUGUAGUCAAUCCACAAAUGACUCAAAUCUUUGAAGAGAAGGACAUGGUUAUCAGAGAGGCUUUGACGACAGCAAGGACGGGAGUGCUAUCUGCCUUUUUCCAUCAGAGAUCCCCAUUCCCUCUCAUUAACAUACCCAGGACAUCAGCACAGCCAUCGGCCCGAGGGAAUCGCUUCCAACUUUUAAGGGAAUAUUCACAAGACCUCGCCCCUGCGUUGUCUCAGACAGAUCAAACCAGAUUUGCCUCGUGUAAGGGUUCUUCAGUCCCACUGAAGAUGUGAUGUGAUGUGAUGUGAUGUGAAAGCUGCUGCUGCUGAAACAAUUCUUCCCUUUUUGAGGGGAUAAAGUGCAAUGGGAAUAGAACUGCUCAGAGAAGAAUUCCUUGUGGCAGAAGGAUGGGCAGCAUGGAGAUUUCUGAGAAGGUUUGGAAGUCACUUCCAUCAAGUAGAAGGAAUGUUAUGCUAAAACCGUUCAUCAAAGCUGAGACCUCACAGAUUAUUUUGUUGGAAAGUCAAGAAAACAACAACUGAUUUUUUUCCCCCAGGGCAGAGAUUUUGUGUUAGAAGAGAAAAUAAGAAAACAACCAGACCCCAAAAGAGAGGAAAACGGAAAACCUGAGAUUAGAGAAGGGAAAAGGUAUCAAAAGAAAUUUGAUGAGGCCCUAAUUGUGUCCAAAAUCCAUGAUUGUUUUGAAAUCCAAGGAACUACUGUUGCAUUAUCUGUUCAGAGGGGCUCUAUAGUCAGAAAAUUCUCAUCUCUUGUAUCCCACUUUCAAGAGUUCAGUCUAUUCCAUUCUGGAAUUCCAAAAGACUGGGAAAACACCUGGAUUUACGGUGCUUGGGACUAUUGGGAUUAGAUGCAAGCAGCUGGAUUUUCCCAGGAAUGUUAUUCUGGAAUUUUUGAGUAACACAAGUUCUGGCACAGUGCUGGGGGUGGUGUGGGUACAGAAGCACUGUCAGGUGGACUUGAACCUGGAAAGAUUCCUUGUCACAUAACUGAUCCCAAAUUUCACUUGGGAUUUUUUUACCAAGUUUCCAUUCCCAUUGCAAAUAUAUGGAUAACAUGUUUAGGCACUAUCCUUAAAAAGUAAAGAAAUUAUUUCUUUAAGAGAUGGGUGAUCUGUAGAAGACAUUUGUGUAAUUUUGCAUUCUAAAUGUGAUUUAUAUUUAUA